Molecule: ribosomal RNA, 397 nt
Filed under: Nutomonas limna
Lineage: Eukaryota; Ancyromonadida; Planomonadidae
Description: Ancyromonas limna partial small subunit ribosomal RNA
Rfam family: Eukaryotic small subunit ribosomal RNA
Source: RNAcentral
GCUUGUCUCAAAGAUUAAGCCAUGCACGUCUAAGUAUAAAUAUUUCACUUUGAAACUGCGAAUGGCUCAUUAUAUCAGUUAUAGUUUAUUUGAUAGUCCCUUACUAUUUGGAUAACCGUAGUAAUUCUAGAGCUAAUACAUGCGUCAAUGCCCGACUUUGGAAGGGCUGUGUUUAUUAGAUCCAAAACCAAUGCGGGGCAACCCGGUUACUGGUGAUUCAUAAUAACCUAUCGGACCGAAUGGCCUUGCGCCGUCGGUGCAUCAUUCAAAUUUCUGCCCUAUCAAUUUGUUGGUAGUAUAUAGGACUACCAAGAUGAUUACGGGUAACGGAGAAUUAGGGUUUGAUUCCGGAGAGGGAGCCUGAGAAACGGCUACCACAUCUAAGGAAGGCAGCAGG